This 253-nucleotide ribosomal RNA is filed under the name uncultured bacterium. RNAcentral describes it as "partial 16S ribosomal RNA". It matches the Rfam family "Bacterial small subunit ribosomal RNA", at positions 524 to 776 of the family's 1533-position model. The record is from RNAcentral.
UACGUAGGGGGCAAGCGUUGUCCGGAAUCAUUGGGCGUAAAGCGCGUGUAGGCGGCUCGGUAAGUCCGCUCUGAAAGCCCGGGGCUCAACCCCGGGAGGCGGGUGGAUACUGCUCAGCUCGAGUCCGGAAGAGGAGUGUGGAAUUCCUGGUGUAGCGGUGAAAUGCGCAGAUAUCAGGAGGAACACCAAUGGCGAAGGCAGCACUCUGGGACGGUACUGACGCUGAGACGCGAAAGCGUGGGGAGCAAACAGG